UACAGAGGUGGCAAGCGUUGUUCGGAAUUACUGGGCGUAAAGGGCGCGUAGGCGGCCUUCUAAGUCAGACGUGAAAUCCCCCGGCUUAACCUGGGAACUGCGUCUGAUACUGGAGGGCUUGAGUGCGGGAGAGGGAUGUGGAAUUCCAGGUGUAGCGGUGAAAUGCGUAGAUAUCUGGAGGAACACCGGUGGCGAAGGCGGCAUCCUGGACCGACACUGACGCUGAGGCGCGAAAGCGUGGGGAGCAAACAGG
This 253-nucleotide ribosomal RNA is filed under the name uncultured bacterium. RNAcentral describes it as "partial 16S ribosomal RNA". It matches the Rfam family "Bacterial small subunit ribosomal RNA", at positions 524 to 776 of the family's 1533-position model. The record is from RNAcentral.